Long non-coding RNA from Alligator sinensis (Chinese alligator), 487 nucleotides. RefSeq lists it as uncharacterized. The record is from RefSeq and is a predicted model, not a curated record. Lineage: Eukaryota; Metazoa; Chordata; Crocodylia; Alligatoridae. The transcript is spliced from 5 exons.
GAUUCAUUGUAAGCUGGGCAGGGGGAGCAGAUAUUUUUUCAUGGCAUAGGAGACUGAAUGGAUCACAACAACAGACCCAGUCUGACCAGUAAUGGGUCCAGAACAUCUUCCUGAGAGAACUCCUGAAGAAGGUGGGCUUUCCCCCAGCUCUUCAACAUCAAGACAUGCAAAUAAAGGGAACCGGUGUCUGGUGACAGUGAGCCUUGCCAGAGUGGAGGAAUUUGCCUUUUAGAGGGCAGAGCUUUGGAGCAGGCACAGAAAGUGAAGGAGACACUGAUGCUGAAGUACGAUGCUGAAUUAUCUAAAAGGAACAGAGAUCAAAUCAAAGAGGAACACUUAAAUUAGGUCAGGAAGAAGGAAAACACUGGGUCUAGUUGAAACCACAGCAGAAACCUAGGAAGUGGGAGUGAUGUGCAAGCUGGAACCAAGGCAAGAGGAGAAGGACACCACACAAAGUGCCAUGGGAUUUUUCAUACCAAGGAAUAAA